This is a non-coding RNA of Acanthosepion pharaonis, 114 nucleotides long. The record is from the annotation of a GenBank genome assembly. Lineage: Eukaryota; Metazoa; Mollusca; Cephalopoda; Sepiida; Sepiidae.
UACGGCCUCAUCACGGAGAAACACUGGUCACCCAUACGAUCACCGAAGUUAAGCAACGUCGAGAUUGGCCAGUGCCUAGAUGGGUGACCGUUUGGAAAUACUAGGUGCUGUAAG